Cyprinus carpio (common carp) is the source of this 493-nucleotide long non-coding RNA. RefSeq lists it as uncharacterized. NCBI's taxonomy places the organism in Eukaryota, Metazoa, Chordata, Actinopteri, Cypriniformes, Cyprinidae. The record is from RefSeq and is a predicted model, not a curated record. The transcript is spliced from 2 exons.
GGAGAUUUUAUAUGAUGUUUUCAGAGAUGUAGAGAGAUGUCAAAAGUAUAUCAAAAUCAACAUCCAGUGAACCCAAAAAAGCACAGAAGGUGGUCAGAGAAGCUCCACGGGAAGCUGUCAAUGUGGAUAAUGCUGCCCAGCUUUUCUCUCAACUGUAGAAGCCCAUUUUAACAUGCUGAACAUGGACUAAUCACAGACACGUCAUACCAAAAUUCUCAAACAAAAACAGUUCAUAAUAACUGCUGAUCAGCUAUAUUAUUUAUUACAUGAAUAUCCCUGUGUAGGUAAUUUUUUUUUUUGCAUUAUUUCUAGUGCCCUCGUAGGACUGGUUUUGUAAAUGCACUUUGCAGCAGUGCAUGCUGAUCACACAAGCUUAAUGUCCAAAAAUACAUUAGUAAGUUUUCCUAUAGCACUGAUUUUUUUUGGAUUGGAAUAUUGUCUAUGCUUGCUGAAGCAUAAAGAACAAAGUCAUUAAAGACUGAAUUCGAUCAGA